This 445-nucleotide ribosomal RNA is filed under the name uncultured bacterium. RNAcentral's name for it is "partial 16S ribosomal RNA". It matches the Rfam family "Bacterial small subunit ribosomal RNA", at positions 354 to 796 of the family's 1533-position model. The record is from RNAcentral.
GUGAGGAAUAUUGGUCAAUGGACGAGAGUCUGAACCAGCCAAGUCGCGUGAAGGAAGACGGUUCUAUGAAUUGUAAACUUCUUUUGUGCAGGAAUAAAGUGGGUUACGUGUAACCUUUUGUAUGUACUGUACGAAUAAGGAUCGGCUAACUCCGUGCCAGCAGCCGCGGUAAUACGGAGGAUCCGAGCGUUAUCCGGAUUUAUUGGGGUUAAAGGGUGCGUAGGUGGAUUGAUAAGUCAGCGGUGAAAGUUUGCAGCUUAAAUGUAAAAUUGCCGUUGAAACUGUCGGUCUUGAGUGCAAAUGAGGUAGGCGGAAUGUGUUGUGUAGCGGUGAAAUGCUUAGAUAUAACACAGAACUCCGAUUGCGAAGGCAGCUUACUGGGAUGCAACUGACACUGAUGCACGAAAGCGUGGGUAUCAAACAGGAUUAGAUACCCGAGUAGUCC